CCUACGGGAGACAGCAGUGAGGAAUAUUGGUCAAUGGGCGUAAGCCUGAACCAGCCAAGUCGCGUGAGGGAUGAAGGUUCUAUGGAUCGUAAACCUCUUUUAUAAGGGAAUAAAGUGUGGGACGUGUCCUGUUUUGUAUGUACCUUAUGAAUAAGGAUCAGCUAACUCCGUGCCAGCAGCCGCGGUAAGACGGAGGAUCCGAGCGUUAUCCGGAUUUAUUGGGUUUAAAGGGUGCGUAGGCGGCCUUUUAAGUCAGCGGUGAAAGUCUGUGGCUCAACCAUAGAAUUGCCGUUGAAACUGGGAGGCUUGAGUAUGUUUGAGGCAGGCGGAAUGCGUGGUGUAGCGGUGAAAUGCUUAGAGAUCACGCAGAACCCCGAUUGCGAAGGCAGCCUGCCAAGCCAUGACUGACGCUGAUGCACGAAAGCGUGGGGAUCAAACAGGAUUAGAUACCCGAGUAGUC
Molecule: ribosomal RNA, 460 nt
Filed under: uncultured bacterium
Lineage: Bacteria
Description: partial 16S ribosomal RNA
Rfam family: Bacterial small subunit ribosomal RNA
Source: RNAcentral